RNAcentral lists this ribosomal RNA (631 nucleotides) under uncultured Gammaproteobacteria bacterium. Its description in RNAcentral is "partial 16S ribosomal RNA". It matches the Rfam family "Bacterial small subunit ribosomal RNA", at positions 1 to 608 of the family's 1533-position model. The record is from RNAcentral. Lineage: Bacteria; Pseudomonadati; Pseudomonadota; Gammaproteobacteria.
GUCGCAUGCUCCCGGCCGCCAUGGCGGCCGCGGGAAUUCGAUUAGAGUUUGAUCAUGGCUCAGAUUGAACGCUGGCGGCAGGCCUAACACAUGCAAGUCGAGCGGUAGAGAGAAGCUUGCUUCUCUUGAGAGCGGCGGACGGGUGAGUAAUGCCUAGGAAUCUGCCCGGUAGUGGGGGAUAACGUUCGGAAACGGACGCUAAUACCGCAUACGCCCUACGGGAGAAAGCAGGGGACCUUCGGGCCUUGCGCUAUCAGAUGAGCCUAGGUCGGAUUAGCUAGUUGGUGGGGUAAUGGCUCACCAAGGCGACGAUCCGUAACUGGUCUGAGAGGAUGAUCAGUCACACUGGAACUGAGACACGGUCCAGACUCCUACGGGAGGCAGCAGUGGGGAAUAUUGGACAAUGGGCGAAAGCCUGAUCCAGCCAUGCCGCGUGUGUGAAGAAGGUCUUCGGAUUGUAAAGCACUUUAAGUUGGGAGGAAGGGCAGUAAAUUAAUACUUUGCUGUUUUGACGUUACCGACAGAAUAAGCACCGGCUAACUCUGUGCCAGCAGCCGCGGUAAUACGAAUCACUAGUGAAUUCGCGGCCGCCUGCAGGUCGACCAUAUGGGAGAGCUCCCAAAGCGUUGGA